GAAAGGAGAGAGGAUAGUCAUCAAAGAAUAUUGGCGGCGAUAGUGCGGUGGUACCACCUGAAACCAUACCGAACUCAGAAGUGAAAGGCCGUAAUGCCGAUGGUAGUGUGGGGCA
Molecule: ribosomal RNA, 115 nt
Filed under: Aggregatibacter actinomycetemcomitans NUM4039
Lineage: Bacteria; Pseudomonadati; Pseudomonadota; Gammaproteobacteria; Pasteurellales; Pasteurellaceae
Source: RNAcentral